GACGAACGCUGGCGGCGUGCCUAAUACAUGCAAGUUGAGCGAUGAAGAUUGGUGCUUGCACCAAUUUGAAGAGCAGCGAACGGGUGAGUAACGCGUGGGGAAUCUGCCUUUGAGCGGGGGACAACAUUUGGAAACGAAUGCUAAUACCGCAUAACAACUUUAAACAUAAGUUUUAAGUUUGAAAGAUGCAAUUGCAUCACUCAAAGAUGAUCCCGCGUUGUAUUAGCUAGUUGGUGAGGUAAAGGCUCACCAAGGCGAUGAUACAUAGCCGACCUGAGAGGGUGAUCGGCCACAUUGGGACUGAGACACGGCCCAAACUCCUACGGAGGCAGCAGUAGGGAAUCUUCGGCAAUAGACGAAAGUCUGACCGAGCAACGCCGCGUGAGUGAAGAAGGUUUUCGGAUCGUAAAACUCUGUUGGUAGAGAAGAACGUUGGUGAGAGUGGAAAGCUCAUCAAGUGACGGUAACUACCCAGAAAGGGACGGCUAACUACGUG
This 496-nucleotide ribosomal RNA is filed under the name uncultured bacterium. RNAcentral's name for it is "partial 16S ribosomal RNA". It matches the Rfam family "Bacterial small subunit ribosomal RNA", at positions 28 to 507 of the family's 1533-position model. The record is from RNAcentral.